Molecule: long non-coding RNA, 508 nt
Filed under: Lepisosteus oculatus (spotted gar)
Lineage: Eukaryota; Metazoa; Chordata; Actinopteri; Semionotiformes; Lepisosteidae
Description: lncRNA (ENSLOCG00000021162.1)
Source: RNAcentral
AGGGUCAGCAAUAACCAUUUUGAUUUAAUCUAGAGCGCGGCUGCUCUUUAUCCUUUCUGGGCCCAGCUUUCUAAUGGCACUGUCACUAGAAAUGAACAAUAUUUAACUGGUAAAUUAACUUUUUAUCAAUUUAUUUUUAUUUUUGAAACACAUGUCGCGGACGCAGAAGUGCAUAUGUUUUUUUAAUCUUUUACAUCUCCGGCUGUUGCUUUUGUACUACAGUAUAAGCAUAGCACUACAGUACAGCACUGUGUUAUCAGAUGGUGGGCGAAUGGGGUUGCAUUAUUAAUCAACCUGACGGCACUUUCAGGCGUAAAUUUAUCUGGCGAGGAGACGCUGUAUCACACAGAAAAUAAGCCCAUUAAUUGAAUUUGUGAACGUCAGUAACCGUAUGGGCAGCCUGAUAGUUGCAGUACACGUCCUACCGAGGAUGAGCUGAUGAUGAAAGGUCGUUUCCUUUAAAGUAAGUAUGCAGGUAAAGUAAUUAUAAAGCCUGUCGAGUUGUAUC